AUGGGAUGGUUGCAAGAGACUUUGUGGACUCCAGGUGAAUGCCUUUCACAACUUCGCAUGAGCACAGAAGUAUUCAUGGACCUUCACGACUUGUUGGUGCGAAGGUACGGGUUAGAAUCAUCCAUGCAUGUGAGCACCUAUGAAAGUCUUGCAAUGUUCCUCUUCUUUUUUGGAAAUGAGUCCAACAGAAGAGUUCAAAAUCGUUUCAAGCACUCGGGCGAAACCAUUAGUAGGAAAUUUGAUGAGGUUCUGAAUUGUUUGAUGAAAAUGGCAAAAGAUUUCAUUAGACCUAAAACCCCCAACUUUCCAACUGUUCAUAAGAGGAUAAGAGAUGAUAGACGGGCGUAUCCACACUUCAAAGAUUGCAUUGGUGCACUUGAUGGCACGCAUAUUUCAGUGUCUCUGUCUCCUGAGGAUAGUGUCAGAUAUAUUGGGAAAUCAAGGAUACCGACUCAAAAUGUUCUUGCAAUUUGUGACUUUGACAUGCUAUUCACUUAUGUGUCCGUGGGGCAACCAGGAGCUAUGCAUGACACUAGUGUGUUAUACAAUGCAAUAAGUGUUGAUGAAAGUUUCUUCCCACACCCUCCAAAAGGCAAAUACUAUGUUGUUGAUGCGGGAUAUCCCAAUCGUCCGGGAUACCUGGCUCCUUACAAGGGUGAGAGGUAUCAUAUGCCAGAAUGGCAUAGAGGUAUGGAGCCCAAGACUCCAACAGAAAAAUUCAAUCGUGUUCACUCAUCUAUCCGCAAUGUUAUUGAGCGAUCAUUUGGAGUGCUAAAAAUGAAGUGGCAGAUUCUCUAUAAGAUGUGACCGUACCCGAUGUUCAAACAAAAAAUGAUCGUUGUUGCCACUAUGGUCCUUCACAACUUUAUUCGCGAGCAUAACAGCGUAGACUUGGACUUUGAGCGGUUCGACCGUGAUCCUGAUUAUGUGCCUACAAUUCCAGAUAGGUAUAACAAAUUUGUUGUUGCCUCAGAUAGAUCUACUGCGGAACCGGAUGCUCCGACCAUGGAUAAAUUCCGUGACGAGUUAGCCACCGCUAUUGCCUCUGGUUGGAAGUAG
RNAcentral lists this ribosomal RNA (1059 nucleotides) under Triticum aestivum (bread wheat). RNAcentral describes it as "partial small subunit ribosomal RNA". Lineage: Eukaryota; Viridiplantae; Streptophyta; Magnoliopsida; Poales; Poaceae. The record is from RNAcentral.